Long non-coding RNA from Homo sapiens (human), 3042 nucleotides. Lineage: Eukaryota; Metazoa; Chordata; Mammalia; Primates; Hominidae. The record is from Ensembl.
CCACGAGCCUCUAACAGCCCCGCCGGGGCCCUCGCGUGCCAGACUAUGUGCCCCGAGAGCACCUUGUGCUGGGGGAAGAGGCGGCUGGCGGUGCAGGAAAUCCUGGCGGCGCAGGAAAUUCCGGCGGCGCGGCGAGGGGUGGGGGGAGGCAGGCGCAGGAGGCGGGCGAAGAGGAGGGCGCAGAGUAGCAUAAGCCGCUCGGCCUAGCGGCCGCUGGCUCCACAAAGGCCUCCCCAAGAGCCGGCCUCCCACCUGCCCGGCUGCCGGGGUCCUGGGGCUCCGCCGCCCCCGCCCCGCGGACGGCCAGCCUCCUGCCCCUGCAGUGCCUGCAGCAGAGCAGCUUGGGGCCCAGCGUGGUGGUGCCCAGGUCCGCCUCAGCAAGGUGCCCGCGCCCACCUUCCAACCCAAAAGGCCGGCGCGGAAGGGCAGCAUAAAGGCAGCGGCCACCUGCGGAUACCCAAGUGGCCUUACAAGGUGGCCAAGGAGGAGAAACGGGAGGCGGAGGAGGCCGAGAAGAGGCGCCAGGCCAAGGUGCAGGAGAAGCGCCCGCCGCCCUGGAAGAAGAGGACGUGAAAAAUGGACAUUUCUGAUACUGCCCAGCCACUACGGCACCACAACCCAUGCUCAUAGUCUCCAGGGAUGUGUAGAACGGCAAUGGCAGGACAGCAAACAACUGGCGAUUUCCCCAGGUCCCACGCUCUUGCGGAAACCGGUCACUCCCAGUCUGACGUUGGAGCAUGUGAACUAAGAGUGACAUUUUUUUCUACUUGCUUCUGUGAAUAAAGUGUUCUACAGUCAGCCAGCACUAAACACCAGAAAGGAGGAGGGAACAGCGUGGAGCAAUUCAUCUGGAAUUACCUCGGUGUGCAGAGGCUGUCCCUUGGCUCCACUUGGGAUAAACAUUGUGAAACAUCGUGGGCCUCUUUCUUCUCAAGCUCCUCCUGACAGCCUCCUGGCAACACUAGAGGCCUCAAGACUAUGGAGAUCAGAAUUGCAAUGGCUUUGUCAUCUCAGCAUUGACCACUCCUGAGACCCAAGGUUCCUCCUGGGAGCAGGAGACAAGGAGUUUGUGAUGUUGGAUGGAAAAUAGGAUAUAUGAAUGCAGAAGGGCUGUGCUGGACCCCUCUUUUCGCUUCUCUCCCUGCUGUCAGCAGUGUCUCUGGCAUGGAGGCGAAUCUGUUGUGGGUGAAACAGAAGCCCCUGGGGUAGGACCAGACCCCAGGCCUGAAAAGGAUGCAAAGCCUGCUGUUUCAGGCUGUCAGGAAGAAUCGUGGGUACCGAGUGAUUAUGAUGAAAUGCAACCCAGAGAGGAAAUGAAUGGGCCCUCACUAAGAAGUGGGUCUGACAUGUCUCUGGCAGCCCACCGGCAAGAGCACGACAUGCCCUGCAGCCCCACCAUCCACACUACAUGAUGUGGGAGGGCUGUCUGUUCAUUCUUACACUGGGGACCCAAGCCUGCUCUGAGGAGUGAGUCACAGCCCUGACGUGCGCCUUGCAUUACUGUUUCCUGAGAUGUGCCCGGAGACUCAAGCUUGCUCAUUUCUGUCCUGACACAGCUCACUGUUCCUUAGGUGGUCAUAGUCCUCCCGUGCUGUGUCAGCUCCUACAUAGCAUUAGUCUUUCACGUGAUAAAGUGCAAGCACUUUUCCAUUUUACAGUAUUUGGGGAAAUUCUAACACACUCCCCAGGGAUUUGUGCAUGUCCUUCUGCCUCCCCGGUGGGUCAUUCUGUGGAUUCCGCACCUGGCAGUCGGUCUUCCCCCUUGGAAGCCCCUAGGAUCCCUGUUUCUACGGGCCUGGUCCUUGGUUUCUACCCCAGUCCCUUUUGGCCGGCACCUGCCUGGAACUGCCUGGAGCGCCAUGGUAUGGGGAAGGACAGGUGGAACCCUGACCACAACAGAUCCUUCUAAAACAACAGUCACAUUGAUGAUGAUGAGUGCAGUGGGGUGAAUGUCGUCACAGCAUGCAUGCUGGGAGCUGCCAAGGGCUUACAACAAAAGCAGUUCUUCCUAAGGCACCCUUUGCAUCUUCCCAUCCACGCCUCUCAGUGCAUUUGGAACUUGCUUAUGCAUUGGAAUAACUUGAGUCAGCUGCUCGUUUCUGUGCCUCUGCACUCACAGGUUCCUUCAUUAACAUUUUAAAUAAGUGGUUAAAAACUCCUCUGGAGGUUGUUUUUGAAAGAAACAGGGAAAAGAAAAACACACACUACCUGAAUUGAUUUGAGUAAUUUUCCAGUGACUCAGUUGAAACUCAGUGUUGCAUACAUAAUUUCCUCAUGCUGAGCCAGCCUGAAAUAAGACUUGAUAAGAGGCACAGCCCUAAGUAGCAGGCAGUGCCACUGUGGACAGUGUACACUAUGGUGUGAGUGUGUGCACAGGCGAGCCUAAGUGUGUGUACUCAUACACACAGAUAAACCGAAAGGACACUGGGCUUUGUGCUGGCAAAGGCUGUGAUGCUGCUGUGGCUUUCUAUGGGCCCUGGGGAGUGUCAGAUGGGAAGUGCUUUGAUGGCAUGUUGUUCAGUGUAUUUAAUGGGGUCUCCCAUGGCCCGAGGACCCACUGUGAGCACUCCACCCACUGUGGCGCAGAACACGGCUGGAGUCAUCAUAGCCCAGGUCUUUAUUGAAAGGGAGUGUUGACCCAGAAGCCUCAUAUAGAAACCAUUUGGCAAGGUCUGGACCAUCUCUCUGCAACUGACCUGCCUUGGCCGCACAGAGGGACCCAAACCCAAAAGGCCCAGACCCAAGGGAGACUGAAUCACAUUUACCAUUACACCAGCUUUCAUUUAUUUGUUUCCAUAUGAUCAUAGGGACUGUAUUACUAAGUAUGCUUAUAAAUGCUAUUUACAGACUGUUCCCUUUUAUAAGGUGAAAGAUUAAUAAAGAACAAAAAAUUGCCUGUAGAAAACCAUGCCUGAGGCCAGGAGCAGUGGCUCAUGCCUGUAAUCCCAGCACUUUGGGAGACCAAGACAAGCAGAUCACCCAAGGUCAGGAGUUCAAGACCAGCCUGGCCAACUUGGAGAAACCCCAGCUCUACAAAAAUAC